Molecule: ribosomal RNA, 490 nt
Filed under: Physalaemus maculiventris (Mantagnes dwarf frog)
Lineage: Eukaryota; Metazoa; Chordata; Amphibia; Anura; Leptodactylidae
Description: partial small subunit ribosomal RNA
Rfam family: Bacterial small subunit ribosomal RNA
Source: RNAcentral
GCCUAACCGUAAACUUUAACUUACACACCUAUCGCCAGGGAACUACGAGCAAAGCUUAAAACCCAAAGGACUUGACGGUACCCCAAAUCCACCUAGAGGAGCCUGUCCUAUAAUCGAUAACCCCCGUUUAACCUCACCACCUCUAGCUACUCAGCCUGUAUACCUCCGUCGUCAGCUUACCACGUGAGCGAACAUUAGUGAGCUUAAUGCCAAUACACCAACACGUCAGGUCAAGGUGCAGCACAUGAGAUGGGAAGAGAUGGGCUACACUUUCUAACCUAGAAAAUACAAAAGACUACCUAUGAAACCUAGUCUGAAGGCGGAUUUAGAAGUAAAAAGAAACAAGAGUGUUCUCUUUAACUAGGCACUGGGGUGUGUACACACCGCCCGUCACCCUCUUCAAAGCUAAUAAAAAGUUCCUAACUAACUUAUGCCACAUAGAAGAGGCAAGUCGUAACAUGGUAAGUAUACCGGAAGGUGUGCUUGGAAA